Non-coding RNA from Cajanus cajan (pigeon pea), 116 nucleotides. The record is from Rfam. NCBI's taxonomy places the organism in Eukaryota, Viridiplantae, Streptophyta, Magnoliopsida, Fabales, Fabaceae.
GCUGAUGAUGAUAUAAUCCAAUUUGCUUGAGGUGUUGUGGAUCCAAGUCCCUGUUUUCAGGAUGAACCUACUUGGUGAAGCUACAUUCAUGUGAUAACAAGGGAUUUAACUGAGGC